RNAcentral lists this ribosomal RNA (776 nucleotides) under uncultured Neocallimastigales. RNAcentral describes it as "partial large subunit ribosomal RNA". It matches the Rfam family "Eukaryotic large subunit ribosomal RNA", at positions 23 to 644 of the family's 3401-position model. Lineage: Eukaryota; Fungi; Neocallimastigomycota; Neocallimastigomycetes; Neocallimastigales. The record is from RNAcentral.
AGAGAGAGACAUGCGCGCAUAUCAAUAAGCGGAGGAAAAGAAACUAACAAGGAUUCCCUUAGUAACGGCGAGUGAAGCGGGAAGAGCUCAAAUUUGAAAUCUUCAAGGUUCUACCUUGACGAAUUGUAGUUUAUAGAAGUGUUUUCUGUUAGUGGAGUGGCAAAAGUUCUUUGGAAUAGGACAUCAUAGAGGGUGAGAAUCCCGUAUUUGGUCAUUCCUCCUAGCGUUGUGAUACACUUUCGACGAGUCGGAUUGUUUGGGAAUGCAGUCCAAAAUGGGUGGUAAAUUUCAUCUAAAGCUAAAUAUUGGCGAGAGACCGAUAGCGAACAAGUACCGUGAGGGAAAGAUGAAAAGAACUUUGAAAAGAGAGUUAAACAGUACGUGAAAUUGUCAAAAGGGAAGCGUUUGACACCAGUGUUGUUUUUCCGAAAAUCAAUUACGAAUGUUUUGUUUUUGAGGAGUUAUGACUUCAUCGGCUUGCUCCUUUCUUUAUGAAACUUUCUUAAUGCACUUUUCGGUUAACAAGUCAACAUCAAUUUCUUUUGUUGUAAAAGGGUAUGAGGAAGGUGGCUUUCUUUUCGGAGAAAGUGUUUAUAGCCUUGUGCCUCUGCAAUCGGAGAGAUUGAGGUCUGCAGCGUAGAUCCUUCGGGGUUAGAUACAUUUGUGCUAAGCUAUAGCCUUUCAUAGGACAACUUGUUGACUAUGAUCAGUCAUGUAGCUUACUCGCUUAUGUCUAUUUUACCUACGCUUAGGAUGUUGAUAGUCACAGCGUGUAC